GAAAAAAAGCUGAAAUGAGUGAGAAGGACGAUGAAGGAAACAUCUGUGCUGUGUCUGCUCUUUCUGAUCUCACUGCUGAGCUGCACAACAAACCAAGCUCGUCUGACUGUGAGUCCCAGCAGCUCUCAGUUCUUUAAGGAAGUCUUUGUGUCUCUGAGCUGUGAGGAGGACGACAGCUCUGCUGGAUGGACUCUGAGGAGAAACACAAGCAAACAACAGAGGACUCAGUGUGGAGAUGGGUGGGGAAGAGGGACCCGUUCUUCAUGUAACAUUAGUACACUAUUCACUUUGGACAGUGGAGUUUACUGGUGUGAGUCCAGAGAGGGUCCCAUCAGUAACAUGGUUAACCUGACAGUCACUGGU
Oreochromis aureus is the source of this 363-nucleotide long non-coding RNA. Lineage: Eukaryota; Metazoa; Chordata; Actinopteri; Cichliformes; Cichlidae. The record is from Ensembl.